GAUGAACGCUGGCGGCGUGCCUAAUACAUGCAAGUCGAGCGAACAGACGAGGAGCUUGCUCCUCUGACGUUAGCGGCGGACGGGUGAGUAACACGUGGAUAACCUACCUAUAAGACUGGGAUAACUUCGGGAAACCGGAGCUAAUACCGGAUAAUAUAUUGAACCGCAUGGUUCAAUAGUGAAAGACGGUUUUGCUGUCACUUAUAGAUGGAUCCGCGCCGCAUUAGCUAGUUGGUAAGGUAACGGCUUACCAAGGCAACGAUGCGUAGCCGACCUGAGAGGGUGAACGGCCACACUGGAACUGAGACACGGUCCAGACUCCUAAGGGAGGCAGCCGUAGGGAAUCUUCCGCAAUGGGCGAAAGCCUGACGGAGCAACGCCGCGUGAGUUAUGAAGGUCUUCGGAUCGGAAAACUCUGUUAUUAGGGAAGAACAAAUGUGUAAGUAACUAUGCACGGCUUGACGGUACCUAAUCAGAAAGCCACGGCUAACUACGUG
Molecule: ribosomal RNA, 497 nt
Filed under: uncultured bacterium
Lineage: Bacteria
Description: partial 16S ribosomal RNA
Rfam family: Bacterial small subunit ribosomal RNA
Source: RNAcentral